CCCCUAGAUGUUCUGGGCCGCACGCGCGCUACACUGAACAGUUCAACAAGUCUUAACCUUGGCCGAUAGGUCUGGGUAAUCUUUGAACGCUGUUCGUGAUUGGGAUAGACCUUUGCAAUUAUGGGUCUUCAACGAGGAAUUCCUAGUAAACGCAAGUCAUCAGCUUGCAUUGAUUACGUCCCUGCCCUUUGUACACACCGCCCGUCGCACCUACCGAUUGAAUGGUCCGGUGAAAUCUCGGGACGGCGGCUUGGUCGCUUGCGUCCGACUGCUGAAACUUGAUUAAACCAUAUCAUUUAGAGGUAGGUGAAGUCGUANCA
Molecule: ribosomal RNA, 320 nt
Filed under: uncultured eukaryote
Lineage: Eukaryota
Description: partial 18S ribosomal RNA
Rfam family: Eukaryotic small subunit ribosomal RNA
Source: RNAcentral